AUGGACAAAGAAAAUAGAAUCCACUGGAUCAGUUGGGACAAACUCUCACUUCGGAAGAGGGAUGGUGGAUUGGGCUUCCGAGACUUAUACGCUUUCAACCUGGCAAUGUUGGCUCGCCAAGCUUGGAGGAUCUUGCAUAAUCCAUCCUCUCUAUGUGCCAGAGUGCUCUCAGCGAAAUACUUCCCAGAUGGAAAUAUUUUAAAUGCCAAAGGAGUCAGUGGCAUGUCCUACGUCUGGCGUAGCAUUCUAAAGGGCGUCAAACUUCUAAAACAUGGUAUAAUAUGGCGAGUGGGGAAUGGAAAUAACAUAGACAUCUGGAAUGAUCCUUGGAUCCCAAGAGGCACCACGAGACGCACCAUGACCCACAAAGGUCGACAUCUUGUGAACAAAGUUUCGGAGCUGAUGGACCCAAUCAAUGGAGGGUGGGAUGUGGCACUGGUACAACAAACCUUCUUUCCAGAAGAUGUAGAAGCCAUCUUACAGAUUCCAGUAAAUGAAGAGGAGGAAGACUAUGUGGCCUGGCACUUUGACAAGAAAUGUUCAUUCUCGGUCAAGUCUGCAUAUAAGGUGGCCAUAGAUAUUGACAUUCACAAACCAGCUCAAAGUAGCACCUCAACAUCAAAUAGGGGAGACAGAAGAGAGAACUUUGACUAG
RNAcentral lists this ribosomal RNA (654 nucleotides) under Triticum aestivum (bread wheat). RNAcentral describes it as "partial small subunit ribosomal RNA". Lineage: Eukaryota; Viridiplantae; Streptophyta; Magnoliopsida; Poales; Poaceae. The record is from RNAcentral.